This 711-nucleotide ribosomal RNA is filed under the name Triticum aestivum (bread wheat). RNAcentral describes it as "partial small subunit ribosomal RNA". The record is from RNAcentral. Lineage: Eukaryota; Viridiplantae; Streptophyta; Magnoliopsida; Poales; Poaceae.
AUGGCGAAUUUCCACAUCACCGCUCUCAGCCUGCCGAAAUGGAUCCUGCGAAAAGUUGAGAAGAUCAUUCGCGGGUUUCUAUGGCAGAAAGAGGAUCAAACGCAAACUUCUGGAGGGCACUCCCUCGUUAACUAGAAGACCGUCUGUCGUCCAAGGAGGUUGGGCGGCCUGGGAAUCGCUGACCUUGACCGUUUUGGCCGCGCCCUCCGCCUUCGCUGGCCCUGGAUACAAUGGACGGACACAGAGAGGCCAUGGGUGGGCACUGACCUGCCAUGCGACCAGGCUGAUAUGAACCUUUUUCGCGCAAGCACAACCAUAACUUUAGGAGAUGGCCGCAAGGCACUUUUCUGGCAUGACAACUGGAGUGGAAGGGGCCCUCUAACGCUACUUGCGCCGGAGCUUUACAAAAUAGCUUCAAGAAAAAAUAGGACCGUGCAUCAGGAGUUGACAAAUGAAAACUGGAUCAAAGCAGUCGCUAGCCUUCGAUCCCUGCAACAACUGGGGGAAUUUGUCACUCUUUGGGGAUGGAUCAGCCAGACAGUUCUGUUGCUAGAUCAAGAUGAUACAAUCUCCUGGAACCUGACCACAAAUGGAGCCUACUCUUCCGCAUCGGCCUAUGCGGCGCAGUUCUUUGGCUCACCCCAAGAUUUGACUCUUCAAAGGUCUGGUCUGCUCACGCUGAGCCCAAGUGCAAAUUCUUUGCGUGGCUAG